GACGAACGCUGGCGGCGUGCUUAACACAUGCAAGUCGAACGGAAAGGCCCUGCUUGCCGGGUGCUCGAGUGGCGAACGGGUGAGUAACACGUGGGUGAUCUGCCCCUUACUUUGGGAUAAGCCUGGGAAACUGGGUCUAAUACUGGAUAGGACCAUGCUGUAGGUGGUGUGGUGGAAAGAUUAGUUUCGGUAAGGGAUGAGCUCGCGGCCUAUCAGCUUGUUGGUGGGGUAAUGGCCUACCAAGGCGUCGACGGGUAGCCGGCCUGAGAGGGUGGACGGCCACAUUGGGACUGAGAUACGGCCCAGACUCCUACGGGAGGCAGCAGAGGGGAAUAUUGCACAAUGGGCGCAAGCCGGAUGCAGCGACGCCGCGUGGGGGAUGACGGCCUUCGGGUUGUAAACUCCUUUCAGCCAUGACGAAGCCCUUGUGGCGACGGUAGUGGUAGAAGAAGCACCGGCUAACUACGUG
This 469-nucleotide ribosomal RNA is filed under the name uncultured bacterium. RNAcentral describes it as "partial 16S ribosomal RNA". It matches the Rfam family "Bacterial small subunit ribosomal RNA", at positions 28 to 507 of the family's 1533-position model. The record is from RNAcentral.